This 556-nucleotide ribosomal RNA is filed under the name Dacrymyces ancyleus. RNAcentral's name for it is "eukaryotic LSU rRNA". It matches the Rfam family "Eukaryotic large subunit ribosomal RNA", at positions 60 to 650 of the family's 3401-position model. The record is from RNAcentral. Lineage: Eukaryota; Fungi; Basidiomycota; Dacrymycetes; Dacrymycetales; Dacrymycetaceae.
AGAAACUAACAAGGAUUCCCCUAGUAACUGCGAGUGAAGCGGGAAAAGCUCAAAUUUAAAAUCUGGCCUAGCCCGAGUUGUAAUCUAUAGAAGUGUUUUCGGCCGUUGACCUGGACAAGUCCCUUGGAACAGGGCGUCAUAGAGGGUGAGAAUCCCGUCCUUGCCAGGCUCCCAACGUCUUUGUGAUACACUUUCGAAGAGUCGAGUUGUUUGGGAAUGCAGCUCAAAACGGGUGGUAAAUUCCAUCUAAAGCUAAAUAUUGGCGAGAGACCGAUAGCGAACAAGUACCGUGAGGGAAAGAUGAAAAGCACUUUGGAAAGAGAGUUAAACAGUACGUGAAAUUGCUGAAAGGGAAACGCUUGAAGUCAGUCGCGUCUGCAGGGACUCAGCCUUUGGUGCAUUUCCUUGUGGACGGGCCAACAUCAAUUUCGGCCGGGGAACAAGGACUUGGGGAAUGUGGCAGCUUGCUGUGUUAUAGCCCCUUGUCGUACGCCUCGGACGGGAUUGAGGACCGCGGCUCUGCCUAGGAUGUUGGCGUAAUGGCUUUAAGCGACCC